GCAAUACAAGGCAGACGGCUCAGUAACACGUAUGCCAAUCUAACCUAUGGACGGGGAUAACCUCGGGAAACUGAGGAUAAACCCCGAUAGAUCAUUAUGCCUGGAACGGUUUAUGGUCCAAACGAUUCGUCGCCAUAGGAUGAGACUGCGGCCUAUCAGCUUGUUGGUGAGGUAAUGGCUCACCAAGGCUAUUACAGGUACGGGCUCUGAGAGGAGAAGCCCGGAGAUGGGUACUGAGACACGGACCCAGGCCCUAUGGGGCGCAGCAGGCGAGAAACCUUUGCAAUGUGCGCAAGCACGACAAGGUUAAUCCGAGUGUUUCCUGCUAAAGGAAUCUUUUGCUAGUCCUAAAAACACUAGCGAAUAAGGGGUGGGCAAGUUCUGGUGUCAGCCGCCGCGGUAAAACCAGCACCUCAAGUUGUCAGGAGGAUUAUUGGGCCUAAAGCAUCCGUAGCCUGCUCUGUAAGUUUCCGGUUAAAUCCAUUAGCUCAACUAAUGGGCUGCCGGAAAAACUGCAAAACUAUGGAGUGGGAGAGGUANACGGUACCCGGUAGGAA
RNAcentral lists this ribosomal RNA (557 nucleotides) under uncultured archaeon. Its description in RNAcentral is "bacterial SSU rRNA". It matches the Rfam family "Archaeal small subunit ribosomal RNA", at positions 71 to 628 of the family's 1478-position model. The record is from RNAcentral.